CAUAGGUUAAUGAGGCGAACCGGGGGAACUGAAACAUCUAAGUACCCCGAGGAAAAGAAAUCAACCGAGAUUCCCCCAGUAGCGGCGAGCGAACGGGGAGGAGCCCAGAGCCUGAAUCAGUGUGUGUGUUAGUGGAAGCGUCUGGAAAGGCGCGCGAUACAGGGUGACAGCCCCGUACACAAAAAUGCACAUGCUGUGAGCUCGAUGAGUAGGGCGGGACACGUGGUAUCCUGUCUGAAUAUGGGGGGACCAUCCUCCAAGGCUAAAUACUCCUGACUGACCGAUAGUGAACCAGUACCGUGAGGGAAAGGCGAAAAGAACCCCGGCGAGGGGAGUGAAAAAGAACCUGAAACCGUGUACGUACAAGCAGUGGGAGCCUCUUAAUGGGGUGACUGCGUACCUUUUGUAUAAUGGGUCAGCGACUUAUAUUCUGUAGCAAGGUUAACCGAAUAGGGGAGCCGAAGGGAAACCGAGUCUUAACUGGGCGUUAAGUUGCAGGGUAUAGACCCGAAACCCGGUGAUCUAGCCAUGGGCAGGUUGAAGGUUGGGUAACACUAACUGGAGGACCGAACCGACUAAUGUUGAAAAAUUAGCGGAUGACUUGUGGCUGGGGGUGAAAGGCCAAUCAAACCGGGAGAUAGCUGGUUCUCCCCGAAAGCUAUUUAGGUAGCGCCUCGUGAAUUCAUCUCCGGGGGUAGAGCACUGUUUCGGCAAGGGGGUCAUCCCGACUUACCAACCCGAUGCAAACUGCGAAUACCGGAGAAUGUUAUCACGGGAGACACACGGCGGGUGCUAACGUCCGUCGUGAAGAGGGAAACAACCCAGACCGCCAGCUAAGGUCCCAAAGUCAUGGUUAAGUGGGAAACGAUGUGGGAAGGCCCAGACAGCCAGGAUGUUGGCUUAGAAGCAGCCAUCAUUUAAAGAAAGCGUAAUAGCUCACUGGUCGAGUCGGCCUGCGCGGAAGAUGUAACGGGGCUAAACCAUGCACCGAAGCUGCGGCAGCGACACUAUGUGUUGUUGGGUAGGGGAGCGUUCUGUAAGCCUGUGAAGGUGGCCUGUGAGGGUUGCUGGAGGUAUCAGAAGUGCGAAUGCUGACAUAAGUAACGAUAAAGCGGGUGAAAAGCCCGCUCGCCGGAAGACCAAGGGUUCCUGUCCAACGUUAAUCGGGGCAGGGUGAGUCGACCCCUAAGGCGAGGCCGAAAGGCGUAGUCGAUGGGAAACAGGUUAAUAUUCCUGUACUUGGUGUUACUGCGAAGGGGGGACGGAGAAGGCUAUGUUGGCCGGGCGACGGUUGUCCCGGUUUAAGCGUGUAGGCUGGUUUUCCAGGCAAAUCCGGAAAACCAAGGCUGAGGCGUGAUGACGAGGCACUACGGUGCUGAAGUGACAAAUGCCCUGCUUCCAGGAAAAGCCUCUAAGCAUCAGGUAACAUCAAAUCGUACCCCAAACCGACACAGGUGGUCAGGUAGAGAAUACCAAGGCGCUUGAGAGAACUCGGGUGAAGGAACUAGGCAAAAUGGUGCCGUAACUUCGGGAGAAGGCACGCUGAUAUGUAGGUGAAGCGACUUGCUCGUGGAGCUGAAAUCAGUCGAAGAUACCAGCUGGCUGCAACUGUUUAUUAAAAACACAGCACUGUGCAAACACGAAAGUGGACGUAUACGGUGUGACGCCUGCCCGGUGCCGGAAGGUUAAUUGAUGGGGUUAGCGGUAACGCGAAGCUCUUGAUCGAAGCCCCGGUAAACGGCGGCCGUAACUAUAACGGUCCUAAGGUAGCGAAAUUCCUUGUCGGGUAAGUUCCGACCUGCACGAAUGGCGUAAUGAUGGCCAGGCUGUCUCCACCCGAGACUCAGUGAAAUUGAACUCGCUGUGAAGAUGCAGUGUACCCGCGGCAAGACGGAAAGACCCCGUGAACCUUUACUAUAGCUUGACACUGAACAUUGAGCCUUGAUGUGUAGGAUAGGUGGGAGGCUUUGA
This 1971-nucleotide ribosomal RNA is filed under the name Escherichia coli. RNAcentral describes it as "partial 23S ribosomal RNA". It matches the Rfam family "Bacterial large subunit ribosomal RNA", at positions 165 to 2160 of the family's 2925-position model. The record is from RNAcentral. Lineage: Bacteria; Pseudomonadati; Pseudomonadota; Gammaproteobacteria; Enterobacterales; Enterobacteriaceae.